RNAcentral lists this ribosomal RNA (93 nucleotides) under Prevotellaceae bacterium. The record is from RNAcentral. Lineage: Bacteria; Pseudomonadati; Bacteroidota; Bacteroidia; Bacteroidales; Prevotellaceae.
GGGGAACCACCUCUUCCCAUAUCGAACAGAGAAGUUAAACCCGCCAGCGCCGAUGGUACUGCUGCAUAGUGGGAGAGUAGGUCGCCGCCUUAA